GAUGAACGCUGGCGGCGUGCCUAAUACAUGCAAGUCGAGCGAACAGACGAGGCUCUUGCUCCUCUGACGUUAGCGGCGGGCGGGUGAGUCACACGUGUAUACCCUACCUAUAAGACUGGGAUCACUUCGGGAAACCGGAGCUAACACCGGAUAAUAUAUUGAACCGCAUGGUUCAUUGGUGAAAGACGGUUUUGAUGUCACUAAUAGAUGGUUCCGCGCCGCAUUAGCUAGUUGGUACGGUAACGGCUUACCAAGGCUACGAUGCGUAGCCGACCUGAGAGGGUGAUCGGCCACACUGGAACUGAGACACGGUCCAGACUCCUACGGGAGGCAGCAGUAGGGAAUCUUCCGCAAUGGGCGAAAGCCUGACGGAGCAACGCCGCGUGAGUGAUGAAGGUCUUCGGAUCGUAAAACUCUGUUAUUAGGGAAGAACAAAUGUGUAAGUAAAUAUGCACGUCUUGACGGUACCUAAUCAGAAAGCCCCGGCUAACUACGUG
RNAcentral lists this ribosomal RNA (497 nucleotides) under uncultured bacterium. RNAcentral's name for it is "partial 16S ribosomal RNA". It matches the Rfam family "Bacterial small subunit ribosomal RNA", at positions 28 to 507 of the family's 1533-position model. The record is from RNAcentral.